This 74-nucleotide transfer RNA is filed under the name Christensenellaceae bacterium. Its description in RNAcentral is "tRNA-Trp". It matches the Rfam family "tRNA". From Rfam's summary of the family: Transfer RNA (tRNA) molecules are approximately 80 nucleotides in length. Their secondary structure includes four short double-helical elements and three loops (D, anti-codon, and T loops). The record is from RNAcentral. Lineage: Bacteria; Bacillati; Bacillota; Clostridia; Christensenellales; Christensenellaceae.
AGGGAGUUGGUAUAGAGGUUGUGCCUAGGUCUCCAAAACCUAUGAGGUGGGUUCAAGUCCUACACUCCCUGCCA